Long non-coding RNA from Panicum virgatum (switchgrass), 423 nucleotides. RefSeq lists it as uncharacterized. NCBI's taxonomy places the organism in Eukaryota, Viridiplantae, Streptophyta, Magnoliopsida, Poales, Poaceae. The transcript is spliced from 3 exons. The record is from RefSeq and is a predicted model, not a curated record.
UUUUAGGUUGUUGGGAUACAGCUAGCAAGUUCAAAGAAUAUGUAGGUUCUUUCCGGGGGUUCUGUGGAUCGAGGUGCUUGUUUGCACAUGAUUUUGCCUUUUUUUAAAAAAAAUUCUGGUAGAUUAUGUAGAAUCAUGGAUCGAUAAUGAUUGCAUUGCUUGAAUUAAGGGGAAGGGAUCAAAGGGUUGCUCCAUGUGCCGAUGUGGUACUGGGUUCUAGGCACAGAUCCACCUCCUAAGCCGGAGAAAAUAAGGUGCACCAAAGCCAGGAUCAGUGCCUGUAGUAUUGGUUUUUCCUUCUAUUGACAAUAUAAGAACUGGCAUAUAUCGAUCAGGUCUUUGCAAUGUACGAGUGGGCAACUUGAAAGGACUGAAAUAAUAAGCAAUUUUAUCUCAUGCUAGAAAUUGUAGUAUAUUGAAGAA